Molecule: ribosomal RNA, 404 nt
Filed under: uncultured bacterium
Lineage: Bacteria
Description: partial 16S ribosomal RNA
Source: RNAcentral
CUCCGUACUUGCCCGCGGCGGCCGGGCUUCCCCCCUGCCCGUCGACGCGGGGUACCGGGGUACGCUUGCUACCCUACCCCUACGCGGCGGACCGGGUGACGUCCUGCUUACGGACACUCUGCCACUUUACGUGGGGGACCAACCACUUCCGACACACGGACCUGCUACACUACCCGCACUACCGUCCUACCGGGACGUACACACGCACGGGGACUCUUCGGACCCUUGCGCUACACCUGACUGACGCCUACACGUCGGACUUACGCUACGUUGGUGGGGUACACACGGCACUACCCACACGGGCGUACCGACUCUUGGUACGCGGGUCUGACGACGGACUGACUCCGCCACCNCCUGGGUACCUGACGACCACCGGGCCCCACGACCUUCCUACCCGGAGACGG